Molecule: long non-coding RNA, 349 nt
Organism: Mauremys mutica (yellowpond turtle)
Lineage: Eukaryota; Metazoa; Chordata; Testudines; Geoemydidae
Exons: 3
Source: RefSeq, a predicted model, not a curated record
UGCUCCUGCAAAAUGGGAAGUUGGAGCUUAGCUCUUUUUCAGAAGUUAACUCAAAGAGCAGACCAGCAGAUGAUUGAAAUCAAUGGACCUAGGCUGAUUUACACAAGCUAAGGAUCUGACCAACUAUAAUAAGAGCGGCAUACAGCUGAUCUAAACUGGGGCAGCGCAUCUCUGGAAGUUGUCUUUCCAUGGAGAACUCGUUAAAGUGCUUUUUAUGGAGAUCUUCCCUCAGAAUGUCCGAUCAGGUGUGCCAAAUUCUUCUCCUCCUCUUUCAUCAUCUCUCCAGCGAGAAGGAAGAGUCCUCUUCAUGGGAAAUAGAUGUUACUUUCCCCAGCUGCUGCCUAAGCCU